Molecule: transfer RNA, 71 nt
Filed under: Caudoviricetes sp.
Lineage: Duplodnaviria; Heunggongvirae; Uroviricota; Caudoviricetes
Description: tRNA-Gln
Rfam family: tRNA
About the family: Transfer RNA (tRNA) molecules are approximately 80 nucleotides in length.
Source: RNAcentral
UGAAGCAUGGUGUAAUGGUAGCACUUGGCACUUUGGAUGCCACAGAGAUAGUUCGAAUCUAUCUGCUUCAA